GAACGCACAUUGCGCCCGCCAGUAUUCUGGCGGGCAUGCCUGUUCGAGCGUCAUUUCAACCAUCAAGCCCCCGGCUUGUGUUGGGGACCUGCGGCUGCCGCAGGCCCUGAAAACCAGUGGCGGGCUCGCUAGUCACUCCGAGCGUAGUAGUUACAUCUCGCUCAGGGCGUGCUGCGGGUUCCGGCCGUUAAAAGCCUUAUUUACCCAAGGUUGACCUCGGAUCAGGUAGGAAGACCCGCUGAACUUAAG
Molecule: unclassified non-coding RNA, 249 nt
Filed under: Trichocladium griseum
Lineage: Eukaryota; Fungi; Ascomycota; Sordariomycetes; Sordariales; Chaetomiaceae
Description: sequence contains 5.8S rRNA gene
Rfam family: 5.8S ribosomal RNA (bases 1-53)
Source: RNAcentral